CCUCAGCCACAGGCUGCUGGAGGGGAGAAAAGCAGAUUCCAGCGGCCAGCUAAACUUGUCUAGCCUGGAUUCCUCUAGGAAUGGGAAGAAACAGCCAAAGGAGACUGUCCCAGAAAGCUCGGGGCUUCUGUUGCUAUCCAAACGACUCCUUCGUUCCUUGAAGAUGAAGCUUCCACAUCAAGCAGACUGGUGUCCUUGGGAGACUGGAAUUCCAAGCCGUCGGCAAGUGUCCGAUCGGUCGCCAACUUCGGUUUGACCUUGGGUCUCCCAUCAGUUCACUUUCUGGCUUGCCAAGCAAACGUAAAGAUCCUCCAAGGCUCUGUCUUCAAUCUGACCCUGUUCUCUGUUACCACCCCAUGGGAGAGAAUAGAAAGGAUGGUCAAAGGGAAGCUGAGGGACUAUUGUUCUAAAAUCAUCAGUAAGAGUGGACCACAAGACUGAAAGACAGACUGGGGAUGAGCCACAGUGGGGACAAGUAAUGAAAGUUACUUCCAUCCAGAUCUCAGCCCUAAGGGCAUUGCCAUGGGCACGUCACAGAGCCUUUGACACCACAUCAUUGAUGACUGAGUUCAUACCCCUCAGCUACAUCCUUGGGGGGAUAGUCCCUGGAGAGAGCUCUGGCCAUCUGUGCCUUGGAGGGAGCUAUAUGACCCAGGGGAUGACCGAGGAAGGACACAUGGUGGAGCGAUCCACAUGUGGAAUGAAUUGGAGGCCCUUCCUCAUACUGCCUGCCCUCCUGGAGGAAUUUCCAUCUGAUCGAUGUCCUUCUUGAACUGUGGUGCUGCGAUCUUGCUAUAAUCCUCCAGAUGGCUUCGCCAGGCCUGAGGAGAGCAGGGUUAUCACCUCUGUAGCCAGGACAUUGAGGCCCCUCUCUCUUUCGGUGCAGACCAAGAACAUGUUAGCCCCUGAAAGCAUUUCCUGGGCUGUAUUCCAAGGCCAAACAAUUGUAGUAU
Vombatus ursinus (common wombat) is the source of this 953-nucleotide long non-coding RNA. RefSeq lists it as uncharacterized. The transcript has 6 exons. The record is from RefSeq and is a predicted model, not a curated record. Lineage: Eukaryota; Metazoa; Chordata; Mammalia; Diprotodontia; Vombatidae.